UACGUAGGGGGCAAGCGUUGUCCGGAAUCAUUGGGCGUAAAGCGCGUGUAGGCGGCCAGAAAAGUCCGCUGUGAAAACUCGAGGCUCAACUUCGAGCUGUCGGUGGAAACUUUCUGGCUAGAGUCCGGAAGAGGAGAAUGGAAUUCCUGGUGUAGCGGUGAAAUGCGCAGAUAUCAGGAAGAACACCGGUGGCGAAGGCGGGUCUCUGGGCCGAUAUUGACGCUGAGGAGCGAAAGCGUGGGGAGCGAACAGG
RNAcentral lists this ribosomal RNA (253 nucleotides) under uncultured bacterium. Its description in RNAcentral is "partial 16S ribosomal RNA". It matches the Rfam family "Bacterial small subunit ribosomal RNA", at positions 524 to 776 of the family's 1533-position model. The record is from RNAcentral.